GCGCCUUUAGGCAGAGGUUACACGCGGGUUUAAUUUUUGAAACAUUUUGAAUCAAGUUUCAGGUUGAAAGGCGACAUCUGUAACGUCAUGCUGUCCUGCAGCAGGUGUCACUGUGUUCUGCUGUUACAGCUGCUGACAGUCAUAGCUGGCUCUUUUCCUUCAGUAAAGGUGAAUCUUCAUGAUGCUGCUACUCUCCACUGCACUCAGACGUGUUCUGGUCUGGUCACAUGGACUUUAUAUCAUAAACCACAUGACAUUCUGGCUCAGUGUAACCAGACAUCCUGCCAGUCAAAGGAGGGAUUUCACAUGUCCCAUGAUCAGUACCUGAAGGGAGAUCUCUCCCUCACCAUCACUGAUGCUGAUUACACUAAGAGGACCUGGUACACCUGCGCCUGUAAUGGUAAAGACAUCUGUGAUGUGAGUCUGCAGAUAGAGGCCUGUAAUUCUUCAGUUCAGAUUAAGCCUGGUGAACCUCUGGUGCUGGAUUUGCUCAUAUCAGAGUCAGUUGAGGUGAUUUAUAACAGCACAGGUGCAGCUGCUCCCUCUAGUGGACAGAUCUGCACAGUGGCUGGACACUCACUGAAGUGUAAACCUGAAUACACUCGGAGAGUGUCGCUCAUCUCUGCUGUGGAGCUGAGAGGAACCGCACCAUCUGAUAGUGGAGUUUACAGCAUCAGAGACACUAAGAAUGAAGAGAUUAUUCAGACAUACACAGUUACUGUGGAAGGUAAGUGUGGUUACUGUGAUUUUAAUGUUGCCUA
This is a long non-coding RNA of Electrophorus electricus (electric eel), 761 nucleotides long. NCBI's taxonomy places the organism in Eukaryota, Metazoa, Chordata, Actinopteri, Gymnotiformes, Gymnotidae. The record is from Ensembl.